AAUAUUUGACAAUGGGGGCAACCCCGAUCCAGCCAAGCCGCGGGAGUGAUGAAGGCCUUUGGGGUGUAAAGCCCUUUCAGUGGGGAAGCUAAUGACGGUACCCACACCAGAAGCCCCGGCUAACUUCGCGCCAGCAGCCGCGGUAAUACGAAGGGGGCUAGCGUUGUUCGGAUUUACUGGGCGUAAAGCGGACGUAGGCGGAUUGGUCAGUUAGGGGUGAAAACCCGGAGCUCAACUACGGAACUGCCUUUAAUACUGCCAGUCUAGAGUCCGGGAGAGGUGAGUGGAACUCCUAGUGUAGAGGUGGAAUUCGUAGAUAUUAGGAAGAACACCAGUGGCGGAGGCGGCUCACUGGCUCGGUACUGACGCUGAGGUGCGAAAGCGUGGGGAGCAAAC
Molecule: ribosomal RNA, 396 nt
Filed under: uncultured bacterium
Lineage: Bacteria
Description: partial 16S ribosomal RNA
Rfam family: Bacterial small subunit ribosomal RNA
Source: RNAcentral